Molecule: long non-coding RNA, 1445 nt
Organism: Boleophthalmus pectinirostris (great blue-spotted mudskipper)
Lineage: Eukaryota; Metazoa; Chordata; Actinopteri; Gobiiformes; Gobiidae
Exons: 2
Source: RefSeq, a predicted model, not a curated record
UUGUAAAUGAUUUGAGUCAAGUAGAAGUGAAAAGGACCGGUCCAAGGAACGACUCCGGGCUCAAUGCUGGACAAUUGUUCUGGUCCAUUUGGACUUCAGUAUCAAGAUUUACAAUCAACUUAAAUGAUGCUCCAACAAACUCAUGAUGGAAUGUAUUGCGGCGCAUGUAGCCCAAAGCUUAUCCCACACGCCGCGGCAGGCUAAGACACGGGGUUAAACACUGUGGACGCGUAACUCGGAACAAAUGCACAUAUACACGGUACUUAUUUGUUAUAGUAGGCGUACGCGUUAGAGCACUUACUUUAACGCUGCUGCCGUCCGUAGCCAUGCACCGAUUCCUUUUAUGCGCAAAUCUUUCCUGUUAAAAUACGGUCAACAGAAAGUUGCUCCCCGUGCUCACCCCGCCGCCAUGAUCCAAGGCCUUACACUCAAAAGGUGAGCGCGCUCAUAUAUAGGCCACACCACACCCACUGUGCCACCCCCAGACACCACAGUGUAGUGCACAGAGCCAAAGCGUGUGCACACCAGUCACGUGAGGAAACCAACAGAAAACCCACAAAUGGCUCCUACAGAAUGUACUGUUGAUUUAAACGGACCAGAAAAUCUGUGACAACAUUUAGAACAGUUUUCAUGCUUUUCAUAUUUUUAGUUUGAUAUAUUAUCAUGGAUUUAUUUGAUCAUUCACAAAGUCUCUAGAAACACAAUCUACAUUUGUAUGGACUUUAACACAUCAUGUUUUCUUUAUUCAGUUUGAGGAGCUGUGGUUUGUCAAAGAGGAGCUGUUCCUCUCUGGCCUCAGCUCUGAAGUCCAACCCCUCACAUCUCACAAAACUGAAUCUGGUUGGUAACAGACUGAGUUUAUCAGAUGUGGAGGAGCUCGUGGAGCUUAAACAGAGUCGUCACUGUCGACUGGAGACACUGGGGUGGUGAUUCUGAAGAUGUUGUGUGUCGUGUGCAGAACCCUGACAGAGCCCAGACACACAAACACAAACGCUGCAUUUUAUCCAAAGAAAACAGUGUGUCAUCUAAACUUCCUCCGGUCCUUUGGUAGUGAGGUGGUCCUACAAAAAAUGUCAUAAAAAAAGAACACCUCUAAAAUAAAAGAGAUGCAGCUUUAGUCGACACAUGAGGUGAAAUGAUGAAAUAUGUUGAUGUAAAAUGUUCAGGUUUAAAGAAAAAAACUGUUUAAUUUGAGCCUUUUGUUUCCAAGUCAAGUUUAAUUCACUUCCAAAACACAGAAGGUCCCACCGAGAUUUGAACUGAGAUCACUGGAUUCAGAAUAGAGCCCGGCCGAUAUAAUCGGCCGAUAUGGGCACCUGGAGACAUAUCGGCUGAUAUUUCACGUGGGCAUGUUAUACCUCGUUAUAAAGCUUAGACUCUCUACAUUCUGUUCAUUUAAUCCAAUUUACAGACAGAUAAAUGUCCAAAUAUGUGACUCUGCGUCA